AACGAACGCUGGCGGCAUGCCUAACACAUGCAAGUCGAACGAGACCUUCGGGUCUAGUGGCGCACGGGUGCGUAACGCGUGGGAACCUGCCCUUAGGUUCGGAAUAACUCCCCGAAAGGGGUGCUAAUACCGGAUAAUGUCUUCGGACCAAAGAUUUAUCGCCUUUGGAUGGGCCCGCGUUGGAUUAGCUAGUUGGUAGGGGAAAAGCCUACCAAGGCGACGAUCCAUAGCUGGUCUGAGAGGAUGAUCAGCCACACUGGGAAUGAGACACGGCCCAGACUGCUACGGGAGGCAGCAGUAGGGAGUAUUAGACAAUGGGCGAAAGCCUGAUCCAGCAGUGCCGCGUGAGUGAUGAAGGCCUUAGGGUUGUAAAGCUCUUUUACCCGGGAUGAUAAUGACAGUACCGGGAGAAUAAGCGCCGACUGACUCCGUG
This 433-nucleotide ribosomal RNA is filed under the name uncultured bacterium. Its description in RNAcentral is "partial 16S ribosomal RNA". It matches the Rfam family "Bacterial small subunit ribosomal RNA", at positions 29 to 507 of the family's 1533-position model. The record is from RNAcentral.